This 495-nucleotide ribosomal RNA is filed under the name uncultured bacterium. RNAcentral's name for it is "partial 16S ribosomal RNA". It matches the Rfam family "Bacterial small subunit ribosomal RNA", at positions 28 to 507 of the family's 1533-position model. The record is from RNAcentral.
GACGAACGCUGGCGGCGUGCCUAAUACAUGCAAGUAGAACGCUGAAGGAGGAGCUUGCUUCUCUGGAUGAGUUGCGAACGGGUGAGUAACGCGUAGGUAACCUGCCUGGUAGCGGGGGAUAACUAUUGGAAACGAUAGCUAAUACCGCAUAAGAGUAGAUGUUGCAUGACAUUUGCUUAAAAGGUGCAAUUGCAUCACUACCAGAUGGACCUGCGUUGUAUUAGCUAGUUGGUGGGGUAACGGCUCACCAAGGCGACGAUACAUAGCCGACCUGAGAGGGGGAUCGGCCACCCCGGGACUGGAGCCCGGCCCAAGCUCCUACGGGAGGCAGCAGUAGGGGAUCUUCGGCAAUGGACGGAAGUCUGACCGAGCAACGCCGCGUGAGUGAAGGAGGUUUUCGGAUCGUAAAGCUCUGUUGUAAGGGAAGAACGAGUGUGAGAGUGGAAAGUUCACACUGUGACGGUAUCUUACCAGAAAGGGACGGCUAACUACGUG